Molecule: long non-coding RNA, 1174 nt
Filed under: Homo sapiens (human)
Lineage: Eukaryota; Metazoa; Chordata; Mammalia; Primates; Hominidae
Description: non-protein coding lnc-ZNF716-2:1
Source: RNAcentral
AUGGCCCGGGACACGACGGCCCAGCGGAGCCGCAUGCCUCCCGCCGCGCCCGCGCGCAGCACAGACGGGCUGUCGCUCGCCUUCCUGCAGAGCCUGCGCACGCUGUUCCACAUCCUGUACGACCGGCGGCGCGGUUGCGAGCACCUGCGCGAGAUCCAGUCCCGCUGGCAGGGCGCCAACGCGCGGGAGCUGCCCCGCGGGGUCCUGGAGGGCCUGCGCGAAGUGGCCCCGGCCAGCGGCUACCUGACCUUCGAGCGCUUCGUGGUCGGCCUGCGCACCGCGCUGCUGAGCGCCGACGGCGGCCCCCGGGACCCCACCCACGCCCCAGCCCGGCCCGGCCCGGGAACCAGCUGCCGCAGCGCCUGCUGUUCGCGCCGGCCGACGAGCCGCGGAUGGUCCCGGAGAGGAAGCCCCUGCCCCUGGGCGAGCGCGCUUCUCUGGCUUGUCCCAGCCGCGCGGCCCGCAGCCCAGAGCAGCUGUGCGCCCCCGCCGAGGCGGCGCCCUGCCCCGUGGAACCGGAGCGGUCCCAGAGCGCGGUCCUGGAACAGAGCCCCAGCGCGGACGCAGGUGCAGCGACCUGCAGGGCCUUGGAGGCAGACUCAGGGGAUGCCCCGCGGGGCCCAGCGCCCGAGGAGAACGUCAGAGGCACACCAUCACCAGCGGCGUGGACUGCGGCCUGCUGAAGCAGAUGAAGGAGCUGGAGCAGGAGAAGGAGGUGCUGCUGCAGGGUUUGGAGAUGAUGGCGCGGGGCCGUGAUUGGUACCAGCAGCAGCUGCAACGGGUGCAGGAGCGCCAGUGCCGCCUGGGCCAGAGCAGAGCCAGCGCCGACUUUGGGGCCACGGGGAGCCCCCGCCCACUGGGGCGGCUACUGUCCAAGGUACAGGAGGUGACCAGGUGCCUGGGGGAGCUGCUGGCUGCGGCCUGUGCCAGCUGGGCCCUGCCCACGUCCUCCGCCGGGCCCCCUGCUCUGCCCUAAGGUCAACCUCGUCCCCGGGCUGUCAGCAGCAGACCAUCCUCAUGCUGAAGGAGCAGAACUGACUCCUUACCCAGGAGGCGACCGAGAAGAGUGAGUGCAUCACGCAGCUGGAGCAAGAGAAGUCAGCGCUCAUUAAGCAGCUGUUUGAGGCCCGCGCCCUGAGCCAGCAGGACGGGGGGGCCUCUGGACCCCACCUUC